This is a long non-coding RNA of Oncorhynchus kisutch (coho salmon), 1808 nucleotides long. RefSeq lists it as uncharacterized. NCBI's taxonomy places the organism in Eukaryota, Metazoa, Chordata, Actinopteri, Salmoniformes, Salmonidae. The record is from RefSeq and is a predicted model, not a curated record. The transcript has 8 exons.
GACCAUGAAGUGCGUUAAAGGCAGUGCUGCAUUUAAAGACACUUCCUUCCACCUGCUGGCUUGUGCCUGAAAUGUGAUGACCAAGGAGUCCUCAACAGCUCAUAAAGAAAGAUGGAUCGUAAUGAUGAGAGAAUCAAAAGAGCUUUAAGACGCCGCCCUUAUGUGUUGAAACCAGUGAGGGUGAACACCCCUGAUUCGGUGUUGUGGCCAACCGGCAAGGUGCACAGAAGGCCAAAGCCUUCUAAUUCAGUGCAGACCCCUCAGAUCCACAAAAGGCCUCCAAUCAUUGUGAGCUAUGGGCAGGACCAGACAUCUGGGGAUGGAUGGAGCAUCAAUCUAGAGCCUCUCAGCCAGGUCAUCUCUGCUGUUCCCAUAAAGACACAACAGUUAGAUCAAUCUGUUGAUUCAUAUGGCCAUUUUGGUUGGCUUGGUUGAAUUGACAAUUAUCCAUUCGAGAUGCUAAAGAAUCCUGUACUAUGGAAGAUCUUUUGCCCCACCCCUAAUGUUAUGGGAGUUGCAUUUAUUGCAUUUUCAGUUACCCAUGUAUUACUCACUACUUGUACAACCAUGUUGGAUUGCCUACAUAUUCUAUGUAUUCUAUGGCUGCCAUGAGUACAUGCCUUUCUCUGUCUCCUCAGUCUGGAAGGGUGACUAGGCUGAUAGAGAGAAAAUAUGAUGACGUGAUCUCAUCCUCCAGUUCUGAUGACUUUUCCAUCUACUCCUUCACUGACUGUGAAUCUGAGUGUGAUGAUGAGGAUCAUGAAAGGAGGACCCCAAAGCUGAAAGUUGAGAAUGGAAAGGUGACAAAGCUUGAUGUGAGGGAUAUGGACGAGGAUGAUGAUCUGUCUCUCCACUCCUUCGAUGAGUCAGACUUCCUGAGCCCAGGGAAGGUCUCAGGUCCUGUAUCUAUCAAGAAUGGCCUCUCUCCUCUUGUAACCUCAGCACACCGGACACUGGCUGAAGCCCUAUGGGCCCUGCCCUCUGCUGUAGGCUCUCCCUACCCAGUAAAUGUUCCAAGGCCUCGGACUCCUCUCAACCCUGUCAUUAUCGCUCCGCCCAGAACAGAGAACUUCCCAUACCGCCACUGCCCUCGCCUGGCUCCCAUCACCAACCUGAGCGAGACCGGCAGGAAGCUGCUCCAGGAAAUGGCUGGAGUGACCCCACAGGUUUCUUCAGUGGCUGCUGUCCAAACUGAGAUGUUCAAAGAAAUAAUGGACAACUAUUACUUCUACCACACACACACAAUGAUUUGAGUAUUGGUUAUUCCUACAACACACACAAAUGUAAUUUCAGAGACAGGAACUAUGAUUAGCAAAAUACAUAUAUUGGUCUCAUUCUUAUAUUUUGAGACAUGCAGCAUUAUUUAAAAAAUAUAUAUAUAUUGAUCCCCAUACAGCCUAUGAUAAUGAAUUGGAUUUACAUGCUUAGGCUUGGAAAUAUAGCCAGGAGAAGCAAAGGACAGCACCAACCUUAGGGCAGUGUCACUGGUAUUGGGGUCUUAGGUCUCCUUUGGCCAAAGUGAAGAGUUGAGGGCCCCUUACUGGUCUCCUUGCAAUAUCUGGUCUCCCACACAGAGAUGGAAAUCUACACCUGUUUAGACCCUGGAGGAUAUGGCUUCAGAUGAAAGACAGCAGAGAGAUGCAGAACGUAAAAGCUUCAAACACAUUGAUAUGCAAAUACAGGACCAUUAUAAACUGAAGUGGAGCAUGCAUCUGGUCUGAAGCAUGUCAAAAGAGUAGAAAUGAACUGGGACUGGAGGAAUACAUCACAUUUAAACUAAAUUAUCAUGUAUCUGAUUUAGCUACACC